UGGCAGUCCACAAGGAUCCAGGUACCUUC
Molecule: non-coding RNA, 29 nt
Filed under: Macaca fascicularis (crab-eating macaque)
Lineage: Eukaryota; Metazoa; Chordata; Mammalia; Primates; Cercopithecidae
Also listed under: 1 other name
Source: RNAcentral